GGAGGGUGCAAGCGUUAAUCGGAAUUACUGGGCGUAAAGCGUGCGCAGGCGGUUCGUCGUGUCCGAUGUGAAAGCCCCGGGCUCAACCUGGGAAUGGCAUUGGAAACUGGCGGGCUUGAGUGUGGCAGAGGGGGGUGGAAUUCCGCGUGUAGCAGUGAAAUGCGUAGAGAUGCGGAGGAACACCGAUGGCGAAGGCAGCCCCCUGGGCUGACACUGACGCUCAGGCACGAAAGCGUGGGGAGCAAACAGGAUUAGAUACCCUGGUAGUCCACGCCCUAAACGAUGAUCACUGGGUGUUGGGGGAGCGAUCUCCUAGUACCGUAGCUAACGCGUGAAGUGAUCCGCCUGGGGAGUACGGUCGCAAGAUUA
This 369-nucleotide ribosomal RNA is filed under the name uncultured bacterium. RNAcentral's name for it is "bacterial SSU rRNA". It matches the Rfam family "Bacterial small subunit ribosomal RNA", at positions 527 to 896 of the family's 1533-position model. The record is from RNAcentral.